This 448-nucleotide long non-coding RNA is filed under the name Nicotiana benthamiana. Its description in RNAcentral is "long non-coding RNA (NBEN_LNC026011)". The record is from RNAcentral. Lineage: Eukaryota; Viridiplantae; Streptophyta; Magnoliopsida; Solanales; Solanaceae.
ACUGAGCCUAGAUAUCUAACCUGCCUUCAUUUUAAGGAUGCAAUCUGGUGCACCUUUACAAGUGAAGUUACGGUUCAAAUCUCACUUUGGCAGACUAAAAUGAAGUAGUUCUUAUCCAAUUUAACCCCUGAUAUUUGAGGUACUUAUAAAAUCUAUUGAUCGUAAUUCAAGUAAGUUGGUUGAUUUAUUUGAUGAACUAAUGUAGAAGCAUACUUUAAGUCCUUAUGGAUUAGUCAGAGUAUUUAUUUUGUCUCUCUUAGUAAGUUGGUCGAUUUAUUUGAUGAACUAAUGUAGAAGCUUACUUUAAGUCCUUAUGGAUUAGUUAGAGUAUUUAUUUUGUCUCUCUUUAAUUUUCUUUUUGUUUCAGGUAGCUUAUUAGAAGGAAAUGGCAAACCACUGGAUAUAUUAGCUAAGCUAAAUUAGUUAGCUAGUUUUUAGCCUUAUGAAG